GGACGCGCCGGCUCCGGGCGGGCGUGGUCCCUCCUGCGGGCGCCUGGGUUGGCCGGGCGGACCCCGGAAGAGGGGGAGUCGCGGGGACGCAGCGACAGAGUCGGGGUCUGGCCGCGGCCGCCCACGCCUCCCAGGGGUUGCAGGCCUGGGCGCCGGGGUUGGACCAGUCUUCCGGGCAUUGCACGCCCUGGUUUGGUCUGUACCCAUGGUUUGUGGCGGGGCAAGAUGUUAAGUUGGGUAACACCGAGGUGAGCCGCGGUCCUCGGCACCAGAUGAAGAACCACUGUCUCAAUAAGAUUAUUAAAAACUCCAAUUUGUGUCUGUGUAACUCAACGUGGGAGCCUGGAACCAUGUUUACUCUUCUGAUGACCCUGAAAGUGUGUGCCCUGUGUUGUUGACGACCCUUGUGUUGUGCUGAUAAUUCAUCACAGAGGCUACCUUUCCCUUGGCGCCCUCACUGAAACUUCCUCCACAAGAGUCACCGAUGAACACUUCAUACUUCCAGAUUCCACAGCCUCUUUUGGUACAAGUCACUGUCAUCCCUCACCCGGCCUACUGCAGUAGUCUCCUAAUGGUCCCCUGCUUCCAUCCUUUGCCCUACAAUCUGUUCCCAACCUGACAGCCAAAGUGACCUUUUCCUGAAAAAUUGAACUUUUAAAAAUUCAGAAAUAAUCUAUACAUAGUAAAACUCAAGUGUAUUAAUACGCAAUUCUGCAUGCUUUGGCAAACACAUGCAGUGGUUUAACCUCCACUGUAGUCAAGAUAUAAAAAUGUUUUUUUAAUAACAUUUAUAAACAAGAUAUAAAAAUGUAUAUAAUUCCUUUGUACCAACCUAUUUCCUUACCCCCAGUCCCUGGUAACCACUGAUUUCUGUUUCUAAACUUUUUGCCUUUUCAGAAUGGCAUGGAAAUGAAUCAUAUCGUAUGUAGCCUUUGAGUCUGGCUUCUUUCACUUAGCAUAAUGCAUUUGAGAUUAAUUCAUGUUGUGUGUGUUAGUAGCUCAUUGUUUUUAAUACUGAAUAAGACUCCUUUAUAAUGAAUAUUCCACAGUUUGUUAUCCAUAUGCAACAGAUAAAGGAUGUGUGAUACUUUCCAAUUUUUGGCAGUUAUAAAGUUGCUUUCUAAGCAUUUGCAUACAGGUUUUUCUGGAAGUUUAAGUUUCUAUUUCAUUUGGGUAAAUGCCUGGGAGUGGGAUUGCUGGGUUGUAUGGUAAGAGUAUAUUUCAUUUUAUAAGACUGUCAGGCUACUUUGCAAAGUGUACCAUUUUGCAUUUCCACCAGCAAUGUAUGUUCCAGUUGCUCUGCAGCCUCACCAGCCCCUGAUAUUAUCAGCUAAAAAAAUUAUUUUUAAAAGCUAUAAAAAGUAUUUUUAGCUGAUAAUGUAUUUUUAGACAUUCUACCAGAUGUGUAGUGGUAUCUCAUUGUGGCUUUAAUG
Molecule: long non-coding RNA, 1433 nt
Filed under: Piliocolobus tephrosceles (Ugandan red Colobus)
Lineage: Eukaryota; Metazoa; Chordata; Mammalia; Primates; Cercopithecidae
Description: lncRNA (ENSPTEG00000026412.1)
Source: RNAcentral